RNAcentral lists this long non-coding RNA (753 nucleotides) under Volvox carteri. RNAcentral's name for it is "long non-coding RNA (VCAR_LNC001618)". Lineage: Eukaryota; Viridiplantae; Chlorophyta; Chlorophyceae; Chlamydomonadales; Volvocaceae. The record is from RNAcentral.
UGCGCUUGGCGGGGCGGUGCAGGGCAGUGCUGGCGCGGGAUGGGGCGGGAAUUGGAACAGGGCAGAGGUGCCACCCACCGUCUUGUGGGUCUGGGUUCAACUCCCAGCUGUCCCUACAUGUAAUGGCCCAUGAUACAUUCACACAUGGGUCUGGUCUGGGUUGACACUACUGCAAGUAGCGGUUUAAGGUCCUGGGUUCGAUUCCUGGGGAGACCCCCGAAUUAGUCGGGAGCGCGAGAUUAUGGCUAGCUGCUGAGAUGUGGAGUUGAGGUCACAGUUGAUGGACCAGAUUCGCACGCUGGAUUGGUGGCGAUUGCCGAACCCUCCGUCUCUUCGGGUGUUCGGGUGAAUGGAUGAGGAGGGGUCCCUGAAGGCUGGAUCCGCCGCCUUGGACUUACAGUUCGUAUGGCGAAGUACAGUGUGGUAGUGGUGGAUGGUGCUAUAAGGUGAUAAAUGAUCUAGAACUGACAAUGUGAUAAAGCGGCCCAGAAGCCUCCCACUCUGUAACAUUACAUUACACAUUCACACAUGUGUCCGUGAAGACAUGAGCAUGCGGGCAGAGGGCACACACAUACAAACACAAAGGACGGAGGGAACGGCAAGGGAGAGCAGAGGGGACAGCAGAGGGGAAGGCACAGGAUGGCAGAAGGGAGGGCAGAGGGGAGGGGAAGGGAGGAUGAUGGGAGGGAGCGUGGAGGGAAGUGGGGGGGAUGAUGGAGGAAGGGUGGGGGAAGAGUGGGAAAUGGUAUUNNN